UUCAGCCAUCUUCUCCCUUUCUUUUUAUCUUUUAACCUAGUUUUUUCACAUUAUGAAUAAACACAAUUCUACACAAAAAUUCCCCUAAAAAAACCCUAUCUUUUUCAUCUCAAAUCAAGCCCUUACUUUUUGAGUCAAUGCCACCAAAAAAAUCAACAAUGAAACCCCUCACAAACUCUCACUCCCUCUCACACCUACACGUCCACAAUCAUACUAACUCACCUCUUUCACUAACAUAAACAUCAACCAUCAUCAAACUUUUUUUUCACAAACCUCUAAUCC
Molecule: long non-coding RNA, 282 nt
Filed under: Lathyrus oleraceus (garden pea)
Lineage: Eukaryota; Viridiplantae; Streptophyta; Magnoliopsida; Fabales; Fabaceae
Description: Pisum sativum (pea) long non-coding RNA (PSAT_LNC027599)
Source: RNAcentral